CUCUGCCAGGUCCAAAGGCAUAUCCACUCGUUGGAAGUGCUCUCUAUUUUGUGGGAAUAAAUACUAGCGAACUUUUACAAGUUGCGAGUACACUAGUGAACAAUUUUUCAUCUCCAUUUCGAGUCUGGUUCGGCCAUAUUGCAUAUAUCGGUGUAUAUGACGGAGAACACAUAAAGGCUGUCCUGCAAAGUCGAUGCUUCGAGAAAAGUUCGAUUUAUAAAAUUUUUAAACCAGUAUUGAG
Molecule: non-coding RNA, 241 nt
Organism: Linepithema humile (Argentine ant)
Lineage: Eukaryota; Metazoa; Arthropoda; Insecta; Hymenoptera; Formicidae
Source: RefSeq, a predicted model, not a curated record